CACGUCUGACUUCUGUCGGGCUACAAGCGUACCGCUCAUCAUGGACACGCCACGCCCCGUCUGUCUAUGUCAUAAAUGACCUGGUGAGUCUAAAAUCUGGUCCAGGACAAAGACCGUAUCUUCUCCCCACAUCUCCCAACACCCACCCUGGGGUCCAGACUAAGUCAACAUACAGAGCCUAGGGACAUGGCUCUCUUGGCAGAGCGUUUGCCUAGCGUGAGCAAAGCCCCGGAUUCAAUCCCCAGUGCUGCAUAAAACCAGGCACGGUGGAAUACGCCUGUAAUCCAAGCACUCGGGAGGUGGAGGCCGGGAGGCUCGGAAGUUUAAGGUCACCCUCUAAUGCAUGAGUGUGAGGCCAGCUGAGCUGCGUGAGGCCCUGUCUAAAACAAAAUCAGCACUGUUUUAUAUUGAAUGGGACAGAAGUGCAGGAGACGUCGGGGUGGCAGGGACUUGAAGCAUCCAGUGAUACGACAUCCACAGAGUUCGGGUCCUAACAGCCACAUAACAAGCCAGGUGCCCUGGACAUCCUGUGACACCAGCUCCCAGUUCAGAACCCCCUACCCAGGAAAUGGUGCUGCCCGUGAUGGGCUGGGUCAACUAGCAAGCAACUUGCACAGACAGGUCCAACAUCCGAAGACCAUUCUGAUCCGGACAGUUUCUCGCCGAGCCCUCCUUCCCAGGCACACCAUGUCAAGUUGACACCAGAACCAGCGUCUCUGCCUGGAAGAGCAUGUUGUGCAGCCGCAUGUGGUGCAUCUUGCCUUAACAAUGAACUUGUGGCAUUGGCCACACCCUUGGGCGUGGUUUCAGGUGCAGGUGUGACCCCUUAAAGAGAGAGGAGCUGCCGCAAGCGCUAUUGAGACUGCAUCUUCUGGAAAAGGAAGACCACGGUGGUUAUUUACUAUUAUCUGUGUAAGUGCUUCCCUAAUAAACACCUAUUCAUCAUU
Molecule: long non-coding RNA, 947 nt
Organism: Mesocricetus auratus (golden hamster)
Lineage: Eukaryota; Metazoa; Chordata; Mammalia; Rodentia; Cricetidae
Exons: 3
Source: RefSeq, a predicted model, not a curated record